RNAcentral lists this ribosomal RNA (468 nucleotides) under uncultured bacterium. Its description in RNAcentral is "partial 16S ribosomal RNA". It matches the Rfam family "Bacterial small subunit ribosomal RNA", at positions 28 to 507 of the family's 1533-position model. The record is from RNAcentral.
GACGAACGCUGGCGGCGUGCUUAACACAUGCAAGUCGAACGGACGGGCCCUGCUUUUGUGGGGUGCUCGAGUGGCGAACGGGUGAGUAACACGUGAGUAACCUGCCCUUGACUUUGGGAUAACUUCAGGAAACUGGGGCUAAUACCGGAUAGGAGCUCCUGCUGCGUGGUGGGGGUUGGAAAGUUUCGGCGGUUGGGGCUGGACUCGCGGCUUAUCAGCUUGUUGGUGGGGUAGUGACUGACCAAGCAUAUGACGGGUAGCCUGCCUGAGAGGGGGAACGGCCACAUUGGGACUAAGAGACGGCGCAGACGCCUACGGGAGGCAGCAGUGGGGAGUAUGGCAGAAUGGGCGGAAGCCUGAUGCAGAAACGUCGCGUGCGGGAUGACCGCUUACGGGGUGUAAACCGAUUUCGACGGUGACGAAGCGUUAGUGACGGUAAUGGGUAAAGAAGCACCGGCUAACUACGUG